GAAAUUUAUAGUUUUAAGAAACACACGCAGCAAAUACGGAUAACAAAUAAGAGAAACAGCAACAAAUAUGAGAAGGGAAACAGAGAAAGUGAAAAUGACAAGAAAACUAUAUGAGAAACAAUGAAAGUGAGCGGGUAAAUAUUCCGAAAGUACCGGGUUGGUCGAAAAUGAGUGGGGAAAAAAAACUGUCCAAAAGAAGCCCGCCGAAAAACUGUCGUCGGCGGCGCGUGCGUCGGUUUCCGGCGACGAAACUCGCAAGGAUUGUGCGCCUGACGGUGUAUGUCUCGGUGGUGUAGGAGGUGUCGAAGAAAGACCACCGUGAGAGACCACUGUUAACGAUUCCGAGGAGAGAGAGAGGGGUACUUACGUGUGGCAGUUGUGUACAAUAUCAACAGCUAGACCCCAAUCCAAAAAAGUAGAGCUCAGCUAUUUGAAUACUCAUUGGCCAUCUCAGUCCAUUUAAGCUCUUCUCAAAACUAGGCAAUUGAGAAGGCGCCUAGGCUAGAUUUUUUUUCCCUCGGUUUUACACCAGGGCUGCUAUUACAUCCGACUGGUUAGAAGCUAGAUAGAAGCAUUCAAUGGCUUCUGUAUGCAGUAAUCUAAUCAGUU
RNAcentral lists this long non-coding RNA (609 nucleotides) under Nicotiana benthamiana. Its description in RNAcentral is "long non-coding RNA (NBEN_LNC035057)". Lineage: Eukaryota; Viridiplantae; Streptophyta; Magnoliopsida; Solanales; Solanaceae. The record is from RNAcentral.